UCACUUUGAAUGCACACACUCCUUCACUUAGUGCCCAGGAGUGCUAAUAAAAGCGUCAGCAGUGUGGGUUCUCUCCAGCCGGGCUCUGGGUUUAGUUCAGGUCUCACAGUAGGUGAACAAAAGCCCAGCUGUACAAUUGCCCAGACUAGGCAGACUGCUCCUCAGUUUUGCAGGAGUCGGAGCUGUGGAAAGCAGCAAAGGCAGGGAUUGUUUGAUUCCCAGCAUUGUACCUCCGAGGAACCUGAUCCUGUGUUCUAUGCAGCAAGUAGGAUCCUGCUACAGAAGGUACUGCUUCUCUUUCAAGAUAAAACUAUGCCAGAAGUCACGGCUGAGUAACCUAAAUUGCUUCAUAGGCAUCUUCAUGCUUUAUAAUUCUGUAAUGGUCUCUGUUUGUUGCAAAAUGAAGCUUCUCUCCUAAAAAAUGUCUGGCAGUUUCUUCUAUGAAGCAAGAACACUGAAGGAUCAUUCAUCUUUUAAGUCUCACUGUGCUGCUCUCUGCCAUCACAAACUCUUCUCUUGAACCUCGCCUCCUCUCAGCAUCUUGAAAAGUUCCCAUCACGGAUGUCAAACCCACACUCAGCUGACGAUGGAACAUUUUGAUGGGAUAAUCACACAGGAGGUGGAAAAACAUUCCUAGGGAAGAAAUGAAGUGACUCAUGAGAGAAAUUACAGACAGAGACAAAACAUUAUCUACAGCCAGUGACCUUGUGGACAUGACAAGUGGGGGUCUCCAUCAGAGUCACUCAUCUGGGAGGUCUGCCUGCCGUCACCUGCUCUAUCCGCCAAUGGCCUCCAACAAAGGGUGAUUCGCGUUACAAAAUUUUUAAGAUAUUGUAUUUGCAUUAAACAUAAAAUAUUCAAUUCAGUAAAUCACUCAGCAUUUAUUCUUCCUGAUGAAUUUCCCAAAGAUGUCGUCUAAGAAAAUGAUCAUUAGAGGUGACAACAAAUGGAGUCCUAGCACUAGUUUUAAAUUUGAGGAUAUUCUGAGACAUUUAAGAUUUGCAUCUGUUGUAUUUCCACUUAAAAUUAUGGAAUUUAAGGUUGUUUGGUGUUUUAUCAAG
Long non-coding RNA from Microtus oregoni (creeping vole), 1061 nucleotides. RefSeq lists it as uncharacterized. The transcript has 6 exons. The record is from RefSeq and is a predicted model, not a curated record. Lineage: Eukaryota; Metazoa; Chordata; Mammalia; Rodentia; Cricetidae.